AGCAGCCGCGGUAAUUCCAGCUCCAAUAGCGUAUAUUAAAGUUGUUGCAGUUAAAAAGCUCGUAGUUGAAUUUCGGGAUCAAUAUGUCGGUCGUGCCUUCGGUACGUACUGGUAUCAUUGGUCUCUCCUUUCUGACGAACCAUGAUGUCAUUAAUUUGGUGUUAUGGGGAGUUAGGACUGUUACUUUGAAAAAAUUAGAGUGUUUAAAGCAGGCUUUAGCUUGAAUACAUUAGCAUGGAAUAAUGAAAUAGGACGUUCGAACCUAUUUUGUUGGUUUCUAGGAUCAACGUAAUGAUUAAUAGGGAUAGUUGGGGGCAUUAGUAUUCAAUUGUCAGAGGUGAAAUUCUUGGAUUUAUUGAAGACUAACUACUGCGAAAGCAUUUGCCAAGGAUGUUUUCAUUAAUCAAGAACGAAAGUUAGGGGAUCGAAGACGAUCAGAUACCGUCGUAGUCUUAACCAUAAACUAUGCCGACUAGGGAUCGGAUGAUGUAAUUUUUAAUGACUCAUUCGGCGCCUUACG
RNAcentral lists this ribosomal RNA (520 nucleotides) under uncultured Glomus. RNAcentral's name for it is "SSU rRNA". It matches the Rfam family "Eukaryotic small subunit ribosomal RNA", at positions 569 to 1092 of the family's 1831-position model. The record is from RNAcentral. Lineage: Eukaryota; Fungi; Glomeromycota; Glomeromycetes; Glomerales; Glomeraceae.